This 1245-nucleotide ribosomal RNA is filed under the name metagenome. RNAcentral's name for it is "bacterial LSU rRNA". It matches the Rfam family "Bacterial large subunit ribosomal RNA", at positions 1564 to 2818 of the family's 2925-position model. The record is from RNAcentral.
UGAGUACGAGAUGCUACGGCAUCGAAGCAGUCUAUGUCAUACUUCCAAGAAAAGCUUGCACUGUCAUAAACAAAGAAUGCCUGUACCAUAACCGACACAGGUGGGUAGGUAGAGUAUACUAAGGGGCGCGAGAUAACUCUCUCUAAGGAACUCGGCAAAAUGACUCCGUAACUUCGGGAGAAGGAGUGCCUUAUUUCUAAGGUUGCAAUAACAAGAUCCAAGCAACUGUUUACCAAAAACACAGGUCUCCGCUAAGUCGUAAGACGAUGUAUGGGGGCUGACGCCUGCCCAGUGCCAGAAGGUUAAAGAAGUUGGUUAGCAUUAGCGAAGCUGAUAACUGAAGCCCUGGUGAACGGCGGCCGUAACAAUAACGGUCCUAAGGUAGCGAAAUUCCUUGUCGGGUAAGUUCCGACCCGCACGAAAGGCGUAAUGAUUUGGAUACUGUCUCGGAGAGGGGCUCGGUGAAAUAGACUUGUCUGUGAAGAUGCGGACUACCUGCACCUGGACAGAAAGACCCUAUGAAGCUUUACUGUAACUUGAGAUUGAAAUUGGACUUUAUUUGCGCAGUAUAGGUGGGAGGCGUUGAGAAUAAUCUUGCGGGAUUGUUGGAGCCAUCAGUGAGAUACCACUCUUGUAAUGUUAGAUUUCUAACUUUGUAUCAUUAUCUGGUCAAAGAACAGUUUCAGGCGGGCAGUUUGACUGGGGCGGUCGCCUCCCAAAGGGUAACGGAGGCGCACAAAGGUUUCCUCUGAACGGGUAGAAAUCGUAUCUAGAGUGUAAAGGCAUAAGGAAGCUUGACUGUGAGACCUACAAGUCGAGCAGGGACGAAAGUCGGUCUUAGUGAUCUGACGGUGCUGAGUGGAAGGGCCGUCACUCAACGGAUAAAAGUUACUCUAAGGAUAACAGGCUGAUCUCCCCCAAGAGUUCACAUCGACGGGGAGGUUAGGCACCUCGAUGUCGGCUCAUCGCAUCCUGGGGCGGUAGUCCGUCCCAAGGGUUGGGCUGUUCGCCCAUGAAAGCGGUACGCGAGCUGGGUUCAGAACGUCGUGAGACAGUUCGGUCCAUAUCCGGUGUAGGCGUUAGAAUAUUGAGAGGAGCCUUCUCUAGUACGAGAGGACCGAGAAGGACAUACCUCUGGUGUACCAGUUAUCGUGCCAACGGUAAACGCUGGGUAGCUAUGUAUGGAGUGGAUAACCGCUGAAAGCAUCUAAGUGGGAAGCCCACCUCAAGAUAAGUAUUCUCAUC